GUGGGGUAAAGGCCUACCAAGCCGACGAUCUGUAGCUGGUCUGAGAGGAUGACCAGCCACACUGGGACUGAGACACGGCCCAGACUCCUACGGGAGGCAGCAGUGGGGAAUUUUGGACAAUGGGCGCAAGCCUGAUCCAGCCAUGCCGCGUGCAGGAAGAAGGCCUUCGGGUUGUAAACUGCUUUUGUCAGGGAAGAAAUCUUCUGGGCUAAUACCCCGGGAGGAUGACGGUACCUGAAGAAUAAGCACCGGCUAACUGCGUGCCAGCAGCCGCGGUAAUACGUAGGGUGCAAGCGUUAAUCGGAAUUACUGGGCGUAAAGCGUGCGCAGGCGGUGAUGUAAGACAGAGGUGAAAUCCCCGGGCUCAACCUGGGAACUGCCUUUGUGACUGCAUCGCUGGAGUGCGGCAGAGGGGGAUGGAAUUCCACGUGUA
RNAcentral lists this ribosomal RNA (433 nucleotides) under uncultured bacterium. RNAcentral describes it as "bacterial SSU rRNA". It matches the Rfam family "Bacterial small subunit ribosomal RNA", at positions 252 to 677 of the family's 1533-position model. The record is from RNAcentral.